UUGCUAAGCUGUGAUCAUUUGCCUUUUCUGUAUUUUAUGUUGCUAUGUCUUCAUUUAGAAAGUGACAGGCAGUGAUAGAAGCAUGGAAGAGCUCUGUCCUGGUUGGGGGAAUUGGAGGCUUUCCUCAUGAAAGACCACCUCAAACCACGAUGUCUACUGGUCUGCCUUGGCACAGCUCCAUUGGCGUUAUUGAUUCCGUUAAUGGAAAGUCGACUGCAGUGGACUUCUGCCAGUUUAUGCCAGCAGAAUACCCAGCUUCUGCAUUUUCAAGUGGUGCUGUGGUGUAUGGAGUAACCAUCUGGUCACCAUGCACAGAGCGUUGCCAACCUUGGGAAUAUGAGGUCCACCUCCAUCAAAACUUUAUAAUCCUCAGUAAAAUCCUUCUGAGACUUAUCUCCCUACUGUGUGCAAAGUGCAGUGGUGAAGUGCUGGUACCAAGCCUGACACCAUUGCACACAUAAAAACAAGAAAUGCACACUGAAGCGCACACUGGAGCACCAAAUACACUGCCCCUGUAAAGGAGUGGUCAGUGGGAAUUUUCACAAGCUUAGCAUCAUUUAAGCCACCACUGAGCAUACACAUUUUCUGUCCAUGAUGGGGAAAAAAAUAUUAUUUAAGCAAAAAAAAAAAAAAAAGCAACUCAGUGGCUGCACAGAUAUGAAUGGUUAUAAAACUGUCCACGAGUUCUUGAAGGUGAGAGGGAGACUCAUCUCAAAAGAAUAAGUUUCUAUGAGUUUCCAAAGAGCUCGAG
This 751-nucleotide long non-coding RNA is filed under the name Struthio camelus australis. RNAcentral's name for it is "lncRNA (ENSSCUG00000010966.1)". Lineage: Eukaryota; Metazoa; Chordata; Aves; Struthioniformes; Struthionidae. The record is from RNAcentral.